GACGAACGCUGGCGGCGUGCUUAACACAUGCAAGUCGAACGGAAAGGCCCUGCUUUUGUGGGGUGCUCGAGUGGCGAACGGGUGAGUAACACGUGAGUAACCUGCCCUUGACUUUGGGAUAACUUCAGGAAACUGGGGCUAAUACCGGAUAGGAGCUCCUGCUGCAUGGUGGGGGUUGGAAAGUUUCGGCGGUUGGGGAUGGACUCGCGGCUUAUCAGCUUGUUGGUGGGGUAGUGGCUUACCAAGGCUUUGACGGGUAGCCGGCCUGAGAGGGUGACCGGCCACAUUGGGACUGAGAUACGGCCCAGACUCCUACGGGAGGCAGCAGUGGGGAAUAUUGCACAAUGGGCGGAAGCCUGAUGCAGCAACGCCGCGUGCGGGAUGACGGCCUUCGGGUUGUAAACCGCUUUCGCCUGUGACGAAGCGUGAGUGACGGUAAUGGGUAAAGAAGCACCGGCUAACUACGUGCCAGCAGCCCGCGUGAUACGUAGGGUGCGAGCGUUGUCCGGAUUUAUUGGGCGUAAAGGGCUCGUAGGUGGUUGAUCGCGUCGGAAGUGUAAUCUUGGGGCUUAUCCUGAGCGUGCUUUCGAUACGGGUUGACUUGAGGAAGGUAGGGGAGAAUGGAAUUCCUGGUGGAGCGGUGGAAUGCGCAGAUAUCAGGAGGAACACCAGUGGCGAAGGCGGUUCUCUGGGCCUUUCCUGACGCUGAGGAGCGAAAGCGUGGGGAGCGAACAGGCUUAGAUACCCUGGUAGUCCACGCUGUAAACGGUGGGUACUAGGUGUGGGGUCCAUUCCACGGGUUCCGUGCCGUAGCUAACGCUUUAAGUACCCCGCCUGGGGAGUACGGCCGCAAGGCUAAAACUCAAAGGAAUUGACGGGGCCCCGCACAAGCGGCGGAGCAUGCGGAUUAAUUCGAUGCAACGCGUAGAACCUUACCUGGGUUUGACAUGGAUCGGGAGUGCUCAGAGAUGGGUGUGCCUCUUUUGGGGUCGGUUCACAGGUGGUGCAUGGCUGUCGUCAGCUCGUGUCGUGAGAUGUUGGGUUAAGUCCCGCAACGAGCGCAACCCUUGUUCACUGUUGCCAGCACGUUAUGGUGGGGACUCAGUGGAGACCGCCGGGGUCAACUCGGAGGAAGGUGGGGAUGACGUCAAGUCAUCAUGCCCCUUAUGUCCAGGGCUUCACGCAUGCUACAAUGGCUGGUACAGAGAGUGGCGAGCCUGUGAGGGUGAGCGAAUCUCGGAAAGCCGGUCUCAGUUCGGAUUGGGGUCUGCAACUCGACCUCAUGAAGUCGGAGUCGCUAGUAAUCGCAGAUCAGCAACGCUGCGGUGAAUACGUUCCCGGG
Molecule: ribosomal RNA, 1342 nt
Filed under: uncultured bacterium
Lineage: Bacteria
Description: 16S ribosomal RNA
Rfam family: Bacterial small subunit ribosomal RNA
Source: RNAcentral